RNAcentral lists this long non-coding RNA (231 nucleotides) under Pelobates cultripes (western spadefoot toad). The record is from RNAcentral. Lineage: Eukaryota; Metazoa; Chordata; Amphibia; Anura; Pelobatidae.
GCAACAAAAGUGAGUACACCCCUAAGUGGAAAUGUCCAAAUUUUCAAUAUUUUGUGUGGCCACCAUUAUUUUCCAGCACUGACUUAACCCUCAUGGUCAUGGAGUUCACCAGAGCGUCACAGGUUGCCACUGGAGUCCUCUUUCACUCCUCCAUGACGACAUCACGGAGCUGGUGGAUGUUAGAGACCUUGCGCUCCCCCACCUUCUGUUUGAGGAUGCCCCACAGAUGCU